This is a long non-coding RNA of Myodes glareolus (Bank vole), 827 nucleotides long. RefSeq lists it as uncharacterized. NCBI's taxonomy places the organism in Eukaryota, Metazoa, Chordata, Mammalia, Rodentia, Cricetidae. The record is from RefSeq and is a predicted model, not a curated record.
GUUUCCUCAUUUGCUGGAUUUUUGUGAUACUCUCAGGGAGGACUUUGGAUUGUCUUGACCCCUUUCCAUAAACUGGCUUUCGAAAGAAUAUAUUACAUACAGACAUUGUUGCAAUAACUGAAGUGAUAUGGACUUAUGAAAGUAAAACUAGAAGUCUACAAGAGCGGGGGAACUUCCAAAGAAGCUCUUGUUUCCUCUUAACAGAAACAGACUGUAGCUGGGCCCUCUUCUCAGAGCCUGCCUUGACCACAGGUGUGAAAACUGGAGAUAUGGCUGCUACUUGGGGACCAGAAGUGAACUGUCCACUAAUGGUGGCAGAGCAGGCAAAGCCAGUGUCCUUGAUGUCACCUUAGAGAAGGGAGCCAGCGGCAACCCUAGUUAUCUCCAGUUGGACUGCAACACCCCGUGAUCCUCCAUAGAGCAUCUACGUGUCCAAGAACAGGAAGUUGCUCACUCCUGCUGUCUGCCCCUCCACGGCCAUCACCACCGACCCUGUGUAAGAAACCAUCCACAUGGCGGCUAGCUUCUUCUGUUAUCUCCUGGUCUCACCGCACAGGAGUGCACAGGAGACAGCUUCCGAGUACAGACAGACACUGGGAGCGGCAUCCACCUAUCCCGGACUCCGAUCAAGUCAAUACACUGGUGAUCAGUACCUGCCUUUCAGACUCAAGCCAUGAAGCCCCAUUUUACCAGAGAUGUUUCAAAUGGCCCGGCAUCUCUGGCAGAAUAAAUGCUAUCUAUAAACCAAAAUCCAAUGUUUAAGCUCCAAAUAGGAUUUCAAAAUGAAAUUGUAUGUUAUAGCUUUAAAAAUCACAAUUCACUGAAAA